GUGAGGAAUAUUGGUCAAUGGGCGGGAGCCUGAACCAGCCAAGUCGCGUGAAGGAAGAAGGAUCUAUGGUUCGUAAACUUCUUUUGCAGGGGAAUAAAGUGCAGGACGUGUCCUGUUUUGUAUGUACCCUGAGAAUAAGGAUCGGCUAACUCCGUGCCAGCAGCCGCGGUAAUACGGAGGAUCCGAGCGUUAUCCGGAUUUAUUGGGUUUAAAGGGUGCGUAGGUGGUUUGAUAAGUCAGCGGUAAAAGUUUGCAGCUUAACUGUAAAAAUGCCGUUGAAACUGUCGGACUUGAGUGUAAAUGAGGUAGGCGGAAUGCGUGGUGUAGCGGUGAAAUGCAUAGAUAUCACGCAGAACUCCGAUUGCGAAGGCAGCUUACUAAGCUACAACUGACACUGAAGCACGAAAGCGUGGGGAUCAAACAGGAUUAGAUACCCGAGUAGUCC
RNAcentral lists this ribosomal RNA (445 nucleotides) under uncultured bacterium. RNAcentral's name for it is "partial 16S ribosomal RNA". It matches the Rfam family "Bacterial small subunit ribosomal RNA", at positions 354 to 796 of the family's 1533-position model. The record is from RNAcentral.